GUAGUAAGGUAAGAAAGCACUUGUAACAGUUGUAGAGUCCGGCUUGUAAGUCAUUUGAAGUGUGUUUGCAAGAGCCAUAGAAUAAGGUAAGUAGGGCUAUUAGGAGUGAGCAAACAAGGGGACAAGUGCGCCCUAGGAAGCUGCUUUAGGGCAGGCUUGUAAACACUUUGAAAGCGAAAAUGAAAGGGCAUUAAAAAAAAGUAAAAACCACAGCACCCAGGAUUCCCGCGUGGUCCCCCACCGUGGUAC
RNAcentral lists this ribosomal RNA (249 nucleotides) under Trametes pubescens. The record is from RNAcentral. Lineage: Eukaryota; Fungi; Basidiomycota; Agaricomycetes; Polyporales; Polyporaceae.